GAUAGCGUCUUGAGAGAACCCUCUGCUAUGGUUUCGCCUGAUGCUAUUCGCUCGAUGCUAUUCUUCCACCGACUCUCUCUGCUCUCAAGCUAUCGCUGCUCCCAGCUCAAGCACGAUGAUCAAGGAAGCGAGGGGGACAGUUAGAGCUGUCGUCGGCGAGUAGCAGAAACACUUUUGGAGGCCUUCUCGCACUUGGUUUGGAGUUUUGGGUUGCUGCGAGGAGGAUGACUGUAGCUGUGGCAAGCACCUGCUCUAUUCUCUCUCCUAUGACACGGACAAACAUCAUACACGGUUUUGUUGAGGAAAGUAUCUAUUUGCUGUUCAUGGAAAGGACAGAGAAACUAUUCAAAUUUUACGGUGCACUGCAUGUGCACAUACUAACAUCCUUGACUGAUUGCGACUGUUCAUUUCACCGGUUAGCAGUUUCCACAAAUAUCAAGAACCGUACAAAGAUGAGUAUGAAAGAUUACCAACAAAUGCCAAGAGCUGAUGCUUCGAUUUUCUGAGUCUACAUUGCUAGCUGGCAAGAAGUCAUGUUUAAAGUGUCGACUUCCGUGUUUAGUUGGUGGUGCACAAAAUGAUGGGAAAAAAGGUUAAACAUGAGUUCAUUCGCUGCAACAGUUGGCUUUUGUAUUGCAAUGACUAAGAUUUGCCACAAGAAUAAUUGUAGGUUCUUUUUUGCAUUAUCACAUAUAUUGUGUAUGGUUAUUAUACAGCA
Nymphaea colorata (pocket water lily) is the source of this 718-nucleotide long non-coding RNA. RefSeq lists it as uncharacterized. The record is from RefSeq and is a predicted model, not a curated record. NCBI's taxonomy places the organism in Eukaryota, Viridiplantae, Streptophyta, Magnoliopsida, Nymphaeales, Nymphaeaceae. The transcript is spliced from 3 exons.